This 153-nucleotide non-coding RNA is filed under the name Tritonibacter multivorans. RNAcentral's name for it is "Tropicibacter sp. CECT 7557 Ruegeria cis2 sRNA". It matches the Rfam family "Ruegeria cis2 sRNA". Rfam says of the family: Cis-encoded. Targets ABC transporter. The record is from Rfam by way of RNAcentral. Lineage: Bacteria; Pseudomonadati; Pseudomonadota; Alphaproteobacteria; Rhodobacterales; Paracoccaceae.
GUCGGUCACAGUCGCCGUGUAAUUGAUAAAGACGUGGCCGCGCGCCUGAUCAAUGGUGUGAAACAGCGGGUUCCACAUAAACAGUGGCAGCAUGUAGCCGGGCAGGGUGCCCGCCAGCAUCAUUUUGCCCGAAAAGAACAUGUUGGAGCGCUG